AAAUUGAAGAGUUUGAUCAUGGCUCAGAUUGAACGCUGGCGGCAGGCCUAACACAUGCAAGUCGAACGGUAACAGGAAGCAGCUUGCUGCUUUGCUGACGAGUGGCGGACGGGUGAGUAAUGUCUGGGAAACUGCCUGAUGGAGGGGGAUAACUACUGGAAACGGUGGCUAAUACCGCAUAACGUCGCAAGACCAAAGAGGGGGACCUUCGGGCCUCUUGCCAUCAGAUGUGCCCAGAUGGGAUUAGCUUGUUGGUGAGGUAACGGCUCACCAAGGCGACGAUCCCUAGCUGGUCUGAGAGGAUGACCAGCCACACUGGAACUGAGACACGGUCCAGACUCCUACGGGAGGCAGCAGUGGGGAAUAUUGCACAAUGGGCGCAAGCCUGAUGCAGCCAUGCCGCGUGUAUGAAGAAGGCCUUAGGGUUGUAAAGUACUUUCAGCGGGGAGGAAGGUGUUGCGGUUAAUAACCGCAGCAAUUGACGUUACCCGC
This 492-nucleotide ribosomal RNA is filed under the name Salmonella enterica. RNAcentral describes it as "bacterial SSU rRNA". It matches the Rfam family "Bacterial small subunit ribosomal RNA", at positions 1 to 482 of the family's 1533-position model. The record is from RNAcentral. Lineage: Bacteria; Pseudomonadati; Pseudomonadota; Gammaproteobacteria; Enterobacterales; Enterobacteriaceae.